This 294-nucleotide ribosomal RNA is filed under the name uncultured bacterium. RNAcentral's name for it is "partial 16S ribosomal RNA". It matches the Rfam family "Bacterial small subunit ribosomal RNA", at positions 335 to 643 of the family's 1533-position model. The record is from RNAcentral.
UCUCCUACGGGGGGCAGCAGUGGGGAAUAUUGCACAAUGGGGGGAACCCUGAUGCAGCAAUGCCGCGUGAAGGAUGAAGGUUUUCGGAUUGUAAACUUCUUUUGUACGGGACGAAGAAAGUGACGGUACCGUAAGAAUAAGCCACGGCUAACUACGUGCCAGCAGCCGCGGUAAUACGUAGGUGGCAAGCGUUAUCCGGAUUUACUGGGUUUAAAGGGCGUGUAGGCGGGAUUGCAAGUCAGAUGUGAAAACUAUGGGCUCAACUGAUAGAGUGGAUUUGAACCUGCAGUUCUU